UAGCAUUUCAUGUCAUGUCAUGGAGGAGUGCAAAGUCAUGUGCCACUUUACUUGAUUAUCAUCAUCAGAAGCCCCUCCCGUGACGCUCUCCAAAUUUGUGGGUUAUUUGUACACCCCACCGGCUGCCCGGAGUCGGUGGCUACCUAACUGUUAGCUGUAAUGGACGAUGUCGCCGAUUAGGCAGGAUUAAUUUGCUCCAUGCAUCGUGGGGGCUAGACCCCAGACUCUCGCCACGUGAUCGACUACCAACAAUCAUAACAGCGGUCGUCAGUUGUGAGACGCCAGUGUCCUACCCUGGGGCACGCCGUACAGUUAUAUGGGGGUUCUUACGGCACCAUGAUGACCAACAAGUUCGACGAGCUGCUCACCCAGCUGGGGACCGGCAAGUGGAACCUGAUCUAUUUCAUCAGCGCAGGCUACUGGUGUUUCCUCCUGCCGCCGCAGAACUUCAACAUGAUGUUCUACGCCCCAGCAGUCAACUACACGUGCCUACCACCCGAAGGAGAGAACAUCACUCACAUAUCAGAGUAAGUGACUGCCUCGUAC
Homarus americanus (American lobster) is the source of this 546-nucleotide long non-coding RNA. RefSeq lists it as uncharacterized. The transcript has 3 exons. NCBI's taxonomy places the organism in Eukaryota, Metazoa, Arthropoda, Malacostraca, Decapoda, Nephropidae. The record is from RefSeq and is a predicted model, not a curated record.